UCUUACGAUCCAAAAUGGCUACUACUCCAUCUUCCACAACCACCCUUUCACAAUCCACUUCCAGCACCUCAACAGACCUUGUUGAACUCAACACAAACACACAACUCCCUAUCAAACUAAAUGCAAACAAUUAUCCCGCAUGGCACCGCCAAAUUCAUAACCUCCUUGUUGCUCGAAAUCUUGAUGGCUACAUCACUGGUAAAACCCCAUGCCCUCCUCCAAUAAUCAAGAAUGUUGUCGAUGGUAGUGAAAUUGACAAUCCUGCGUUCAAUAUUUGGAAUCGUCAAGACAAAUAUCUCUACAUCGCUUUACUUGGUGCUUGCGAUGAAGAAGCUCGUGCUGUCAUGUCUGCCGCACCAACAGCACGUGAUGCAUGGCUCAUUCUGGAGCGUGCAUUUGCCACGCGUUCUCGUUCACGCGUUAUGUCACUAAAAGAACGUCUGAACUCGGUUAGAAAAGGAGGAUCCGUUACUGUUGCUGCGUAUAUGCAGAACAUUCGUUCCAUCUCAGACGAAUUGUCUUUGAUUGGUCAUCCUGUUGAUGAUAUUGAUCUUGUCAUCCAUGCUCUAAAUGGUUUGGAUCCAUCAUUUAGGGAAUUCACUGCAUCCAUUCGGACUCGUGACAAUCCGAUUUCAUUUGACGAACUUUACGUCAAACUCAUAGAUUAUGAAAUGUAUUUGAAGAGGGAUGAACUCAUGAAUCCUCACACACCUGUCACGGCAAACUAUGCCAAUCAGGGUCGCUUCAAUCACCAUAACAGAGGUCGCUCCAAUCACCACAACAGAGGUCGUAACCAGCCUCGUCAUAAUCAGCAUGGUCAACGCUCAACCGACAUAUGUCAGUUGUGCUCCUUCAAAGGACACAUUGCUAAAAAUUGCAGAAAGUUUACAUGUACCAAAAAGCAGUCGUCUCACCCGGCGGCCUAUGCAGCCCAAGCUACGAUCCCACCACCGGAAUGGCUCUUCGACUCUCGUGCCUCACAUCACAUUACCAAUGAUUUAAACAAUCUCUCUCUAUAUGGUGAUUACAAUGGUAAUGAUCAUCUCCAUGUUGCUAAUGGUAUGACUCUUCCUAUUACACAUGUUGGUUCUACAACACUUAAUUCAUCCAAACUUAACCAUAACCUUGUUCUUAAUAAUGUUCUUUAUGCUCCUGGUGUUACCCAAAACCUUGUAUCUGUCUCUCAAUUAUGCAACACUAAUAAUGUAUCUAUUGAAUUUUUCCCUUCUUUCUUUCAGGUAAAGGAUUUGACCACGGGGGCGUGUCUUCUUCAAGGUCCGAAUGAUUCAAAUGUCUACAAGCUACCAACAUUCAAAUCUCCUCGUGCCUACUCUACAACCUUCACUCCUCAAUCUAUUUGUUGGCAUAAUCGACUUGGUCAUCCAUCAUCCUUAAUUUUCCAUCACAUUAUUAAAUCAAAUAAUAUCUCAGUCAAAGUUCCUUUCAAUAAUUGCAAUCAUUGUAUGGCCAACAAGAGCAAUAAGUUGCCCUUUCAUAAAUCUACUAUUUCUAGUUCUAGUCCGUUAGAAGUUAUUUAUAAAGAUGUUUGGGGACCUUCACCCUUUAUUUCCAUUGAUAAUUUCAAAUAUUAUGUUAUUUUUAUUGAUCACUUUUCCAAAUAUGUGUUGUUGUAUCCUUUAAAAUUCAAGUCCGAUGUAUCAACCAUCUUUCCUAUUUUUAAAAAUCUUGUGGAAAACCAAUUCAAUUGUAAAAUUAAAAGUUUUUACUCUGAUAAUGGCGGAGAAUUUAUCACACUAAAAUCAUAUUUUCAAAACAAUGGAAUUCAACACUUGACCACUCCGCCUCAUACCUCACAACAUAAUGGUCUUUGUGAACGAAAACAUCGUCAUUUACUUGAAACCACAAGGUGCUUACUUCAUCAAGCAUCACUUCCACCUAAUUUUUGGUCAUUUGCAGCCCAAACAGCUGCAUAUCUCAUUAAUCGCCUUCUGACACCGACGUUAAAUAUGCAUUCACCAUUUUUCACUCUAUUUCAAACUCAACCUAAUUACAAUAAACUCCGGUCUUUUGGGUGUCUUUGUUUUCCUUGGCUAAAGUCAUACACUUCACAUAAACUUCAACCACGAUCUGAACCUUGCAUAUUUCUUGGUUAUAGUUUGUCUCAAAGUGCCUACAUCUGCUAUAAUUAUAAGACUAAUAAAUUUUACAAUUCUAGACAUGUUCAAUUUGUUGAAAAUAUCUUUCCAUAUUUUGAGAAUUCACAGGAGCAUAACUCUCUCCCUUACUUAAAUUCAAAUAAUACAAAUGUCAAUCAUUCAAUACCUUUGACCAUAAACCACCCUAUUAAAUCUAUGCCUCCAUUAAUUCCUAAUUUGCCUCACCAAACCUCAUGCUCACCUCAACAAACUAUCACCAGCAACCCAUCAACUUUGCCACUUACCCAACCCACCCCACCAUUAACCCCACCUUCAUAUUUACAUAACCAUGAAACCAUAAUCCCACCAGAUAAUAAUGAGCUCUCAGACCUUAGUACCACAAAAUAUUAACCAUUCCCCCAUAAAUCAAACACCUGCGACCUUCACCUCUCCACCUAGGAAUGCUCCCACGGUUACAAAUCCUCCAAUUAAACCGAAAUCCAAAAUAAUAAUAACUGAACACCCAAUGCAAACAAGAGCUAAACGUGGAAUUUUCAAACCAAAACAAUUAAACCUCACCACAAAAUAUCCGCUACCUACUCCUAUUGAACCAACAUGUGUAUCUCAGGCAGUAAAGUCUACUAAAUGGCAACAAGCGAUGACUAAUGAAUUUAUGGCUCUUAUGCGUAAUGGCACAUGGACACUUGUUCCCCCAUCACCACAUUACAAUGUUAUUGAUAAUAAAUGGGUUUUUCGAUUGAAAAGAAACCCCGAUGGCUCUAUCUCUCGCUACAAAGCUAGACUUGUCACCAAAGGAUUUCAUCAAAGACCAGGUAUUGAUUUCAAAGAUACAUUUAGCCCCGUCAUCAAACCUCAGACAAUUAAUUUGUUCUUUGCAUCGCUCUCUCAAAAGGAUGGUCUCUAACACAAAUGGAUGUGAACAACGCCUUCCUGCACGGAACAAUUAGUGAAGAUGUCUACAUGACUCAACCAGCUGGCUUUAUACACUCAUCAUUUCCAAAUUAUGUAUGCAAACUAAAUAAAGCACUAUAUGGUCUCAAGCAAGCACCACGAGCUUGGUUUAAUGCCUUAAAAACAUUUCUACUACAAUAUGGUUUUGUUAAUGCCAAGAGUGACACGUCCCUAUUCAUUUACAACUCUGGUUCUACGACCGCCUAUUUCUUAGUAUAUGUUGAUGAUCUAUUACUAUGCGGGAACAAUUCUAAUUUUCUAGCUCAAUUCAAACAGACACUUGCAGAUCAAUUUUCUCUUAAAGAUUUGGGUCAACCAAGCCACUUUCUUGGAGUUGAAAUAAUACCAACAAAGACUGGUUUAUUCCUUACACAACAUCAUUAUAUCAGAGAUAUUCUUCUUCGAGCAAACAUGAAUGAUUGUAAACCAGUGUCUACUCCCAUGGCCACUUCCUUCUGCUCACAACCCAAACCCGACUCCUCGUCGUGUGACCGUAAGGAAUUUCGCAGUAUACUUGGUGCCUUACACUACCUCUCAAUCACCCGACCCGACAUAGCAUUUCCAGUAAAUAAACUAGCACAACAGAUGUGUAACGACCCAAUUUUCAUAUUAUUAUUUUUAUGNNNNNNNNNNNNNNNNNNNNNNNNNNNNNNNNNNNNNNNNNNNNNNNNNNNNNNNNNNNNNNNNNNNNNNNNNNNNNNNNNNNNNNNNNNNNNNNNNNNNNNNNNNNNNNNNNNNNNNNNNNNNNNNNNNNNNNNNNNNNNNNNNNNNNNNNNNNNNNNNNNNNNNNNNNNNNNNNNNNNNNNNNNUGGAUUCAAAACUUACUAGAGGAACUUCAAAUUCCAUUUACUACUCCAACAAUAUUCUCAGAUAACAUUGGAGCUACCUAUUUAUGUGCAAAUCCAAUUUUUCACUCUAGAAUGAAACAUAUUGCCAUAGACUAUCAUUUUGUUCGUGACCUGGUCGCUGCCAAGAAGCUUCAAGUCUCACAUGUCCCAACAAGUCAUCAACUAGUUGAUCUACUUACAAAGCCGUUAUCAUCUACUCGACAUCACUUUCUCAAAGACAAGAUUAGCGUUAUUGAGGAUACCUCCAUCUUGAGGGGGCCUAAAGGAGUAUUAACUAACUAAUAAGUCAAUUGCUCAAUUAUUAAAAAUAUCAUUUGCAAUCAUUAGAAUUCAUUAGAAAUAUCAUUGUUAUUAUUUUGUAAUUAUUUACCAUUAUUU
This 4294-nucleotide long non-coding RNA is filed under the name Trifolium pratense (red clover). RNAcentral's name for it is "long non-coding RNA (TPRA_LNC001446)". The record is from RNAcentral. Lineage: Eukaryota; Viridiplantae; Streptophyta; Magnoliopsida; Fabales; Fabaceae.